RNAcentral lists this ribosomal RNA (380 nucleotides) under uncultured Thermus sp. Its description in RNAcentral is "bacterial SSU rRNA". It matches the Rfam family "Bacterial small subunit ribosomal RNA", at positions 999 to 1382 of the family's 1533-position model. Lineage: Bacteria; Thermotogati; Deinococcota; Deinococci; Thermales; Thermaceae. The record is from RNAcentral.
GGGGGUGGCCCCCGGCCGAGGGGAGCCCCUAGCACAGGUGCUGCAUGGCCGUCGUCAGCUCGUGCCGUGAGGUGUUGGGUUAAGUCCCGCAACGAGCGCAACCCCCGCCGUUAGUUGCCAGCGGUUCGGCCGGGCACUCUAACGGGACUGCCCGCGAAAGCGGGAGGAAGGAGGGGACGACGUCUGGUCAGCAUGGCCCUUACGGCCUGGGCGACACACGUGCUACAAUGCCCACUACAAAGCGAUGCCACCCGGCAACGGGGAGCUAAUCGCAAAAAGGUGGGCCCAGUUCGGAUUGGGGUCUGCAACCCGACCCCAUGAAGGCGGAAUCGCUAGUAAUCGCGGAUCAGCAUGCCGCGGUGAAUACGUUCUCGGGGUUU